Molecule: non-coding RNA, 269 nt
Organism: Pseudonaja textilis
Lineage: Eukaryota; Metazoa; Chordata; Lepidosauria; Squamata; Elapidae
Source: RefSeq, a predicted model, not a curated record
UGCAGGGUAUCAAAGCAGAGGACUUGGCAUCUGCCCACACUGCCAAAAGCACCAAAACCUGGUUCAAUGACCGUGGGAUUACUGUGCUUGAUUGGCCAGCGAACUUGCCUGACCUGAACCCAUAGAGAAUCUGUGGGGCAUUGCCAAAAGAAAGAUGAGAGACAUGAGACCGAACAAUGCAGAAGAGCUGAAGGCCGCUAUUGAAGCAUCCUGGUCUUCCAUAACACCUCAGCAGUGCCACAGGCUGAUAGCUUCCAUGCCACACCGCA